Molecule: non-coding RNA, 25 nt
Filed under: Rattus norvegicus (Norway rat)
Lineage: Eukaryota; Metazoa; Chordata; Mammalia; Rodentia; Muridae
Source: RNAcentral
UAGUCAUGUUCAUGGAGGAGUGUGU